UCUCUGUUAGUAUAUCGGUUAGUACACGCGCCUGUCAGACUGGGGUGUUGAACCCCGGAUGCAAACGCGCGAAAGCGGGGUUCGACUCCCCGACAGAGAG
Molecule: transfer RNA, 100 nt
Filed under: Obba rivulosa
Lineage: Eukaryota; Fungi; Basidiomycota; Agaricomycetes; Polyporales; Gelatoporiaceae
Description: tRNA-Asp
Source: RNAcentral